AGAGUUUGAUCCUGGCUCAGAACGAACGUUGGCGGCAUGGAUUAGGCAUGCAAGUCGAAUGAAUCCCUCGUAGCAAUAUGAGGGGGAAAUGGCGAAAGGGGCAGUAAUGCGUGGGUAACCUACCCUGGGGUUGGGCAUAGCCAUUCUAACGGAUGGGUAAUUCCCAGCGGUCCAGCGAGAUGGCAUCAUUUUGCUGGUAUAGAACUUCGCCCCGGGAGGGGCCCACGUGAUAUUAGGUUGUUGGCGGGGUAACGGCCCACCAAGCCGAAGAUGUCUAGCGGGUGUGAGAGCACGACCCGCGCCACUGGCACUGUGACACUGGCCAGACACCUACGGGUGGCUGCAGUCGAGGAUCUUCGUCAAUGGGCGAAAGCCUGAACGAGCGAUGCCGCGUGCGCGAUGAAGGCCCUCGGGUUGUAAAGCGCGAAAGUGGGGAUAAAGGGAAACUUGAUGGAACCACAGUAAGCUCGGGCUAAGUUCGUGCCAGCAGCCGCGGUAAGACGAACCGAGCGAACGUUGUUCGGAAUCACUGGGCAUAAAGGGCGCGUAGGCGGGGAUCUAAGUCCGUGGUGAAAUACCUUGGCUCAACCAAGGAACUGCCUCGGAUACUGGGUCUCUCGAGGGAGGUAGGGGCUUGCGGAACGGCUGGUGGAGCGGUGAAAUGCGUUGAUAUCAGUCGGAACUCCGGUGGCGAAGGCGGCAAGCUGGACCUCUUCUGACGCUGAGGCGCGAAAGCCAGGGGAGCAAACGGGAU
Molecule: ribosomal RNA, 754 nt
Filed under: uncultured bacterium
Lineage: Bacteria
Description: bacterial SSU rRNA
Rfam family: Bacterial small subunit ribosomal RNA
Source: RNAcentral